CACCGGCGGCUCGGGUGGUGGCCACUUUUAUUGGGUCUAAAGCGUCCGUAGCCGGCUUGGCAAGUCCCCUGGGAAAUCUGGCGGCUUAACCGUCAGGCGUCCAGAGGAUACUGCCAGGCUUGGGACCGGGAGAGGUGAGAGGUACCUCAGGGGUAGGGGUGAAAUCUUGUGAUCCCUGAGGGACCACCAGUGGCGAAGGCGUCUCACUAGAACGGGUCCGACGGUCAGGGACGAAAGCUGGGGGCACGAACCGG
RNAcentral lists this ribosomal RNA (254 nucleotides) under uncultured microorganism. RNAcentral describes it as "partial 16S ribosomal RNA". It matches the Rfam family "Archaeal small subunit ribosomal RNA", at positions 474 to 727 of the family's 1478-position model. The record is from RNAcentral.